This is a non-coding RNA of Paramuricea clavata, 336 nucleotides long. NCBI's taxonomy places the organism in Eukaryota, Metazoa, Cnidaria, Anthozoa, Malacalcyonacea, Plexauridae. The record is from the annotation of a GenBank genome assembly.
CGAGAACUAUAACACACCGAUUCCCCAAGCUGUCUUAAAAAAGUAGGUUUUUAUGAGAAAAAAAUAGGAAAAAGUAGGAAAAUCAAGCAAUUUUUAAUAAAAAAUAGGAAAAGUAGGAAAGUCGAAGAAAAGUAGGAAAAAUUAGGAAAAGUAGGAUGGCAAGAAAGUCUGGGAUUGGCAGGGCGAAUCAUCUGGAUUGGCAGGGCAAUCAAAGAUUUUAAAUGAUAGAAUGUAGAGUUAUUAACAUAGGUUAUUAAGUAACUGUCAGGGCUUUCAGAGGGAAUUGAAUAGAAUUUAUAGACCUAAAUUUUACAGAUAUUGGUCCAAAAAUAAGGG